UCCCAGAAUGGUUACUCCUAAGGCGGAAGCUUUGUUACUGUACCGGAGAGAAAAGACUUGACUUCGAAAAUUCCCUAGAUUGAGCGUACCUCCGAAUUCCCAAGGGUUACGCAGCACCAGCAAAGCUCAACAAGGCGCUUAGAAACAAGUUUAAAAGAAAUUAGAGCUGGGAACUGGAGUACAGGAAAACUUAUUUUGGUGAUGCUACCAAGAAUGACCAUCAAAUUAACAUCAUUAUUAUCAAGCAGCACUCCAGAAUAGUAUCGAACAGGUGUCACGCACCUGGUGCCCACAUUGGACACACAGGACAGGAGUUAGUAAACGAAUGUAACCUGUUAAAAGUUUCAUAGUAUGAAUUAAAUUAAAGGUUUUCUAUUUCAUUCGAAGUCAACAACAAUCAUCGGAUGUGGUCAGUCCCAAAAAUAAACCUUCUUAAGCGGCACAUCAGACGUUUGGUUUGCAUGGAAUUGAACCGAGCUAAGCGUGGCAGAUAUUUUGGGAAGCUAUCUGGUCAGGCCGAUACAAUGGAUACGAUUGUAUGUUACUUGAUCUCUAAAGAUAACUGCAUUUGCUUCGCUGUAUUUAGCAUAAUCAGAAGUUUAAAAGAAACAGGACUGUGCAGGAUCUAGUUAACGAUAAACAAUCUCUCAAGCAAUAUGGAGAACUUGCUAUUCAUUGCAGCAGCCGAAAUAAGGGAACCGUCGAACCAGCCCACUUAAGAGCCAAGAUUAAUUGUUUGGUUUGAAUGAUAAUAACUGUUUCGUUAGUAUACACUUAGGCGUUGUGAGAAAGAUCAUUUGGAUUGUAUAGUGAAGAUUUAGUAGUAUUUAGG
This is a long non-coding RNA of Uranotaenia lowii, 832 nucleotides long. RefSeq lists it as uncharacterized. NCBI's taxonomy places the organism in Eukaryota, Metazoa, Arthropoda, Insecta, Diptera, Culicidae. The record is from RefSeq and is a predicted model, not a curated record. The transcript has 3 exons.